GACGAACGCUGGCGACGUGCCUAAUACAUGCAAGUUGAGCGCUGAAGGUUGGUACUUGUACCAACUGGAUGAGCAGCGAACGGGUGAGUAACGCGUGGGGAAUCUGCCUUUGAGCGGGGGACAACAUUUGGAAACGAAUGCUAAUACCGCAUAAAAACUUUAAACACAAGUUUUAAGUUUGAAAGAUGCAAUUGCAUCACUCAAAGAUGAUCCCGCGUUGUAUUAGCUAGUUGGUGAGGUAAAGGCUCACCAAGGCGAUGAUACAUAGCCGACCUGAGAGGGUGAUCGGCCUCAUUGGGACUGAGACACGGCCCAAACUCCUACGGGAGGCAGCAGUAGGGAAUCUUCGGCAAUGGACGAAAGUCUGACCGAGCAACGCCGCGUGAGUGAAGAAGGGUUUCGGAUCGUAAAACUCUGUUGGUAGAGAAGAACGUUGGUGAGAGUGGAAAGCUCAUCAAGUGACGGUAACUACCCAGAAAGGGACGGCUAACUACGUG
This 497-nucleotide ribosomal RNA is filed under the name uncultured bacterium. Its description in RNAcentral is "partial 16S ribosomal RNA". It matches the Rfam family "Bacterial small subunit ribosomal RNA", at positions 28 to 507 of the family's 1533-position model. The record is from RNAcentral.